RNAcentral lists this ribosomal RNA (500 nucleotides) under uncultured bacterium. Its description in RNAcentral is "partial 16S ribosomal RNA". It matches the Rfam family "Bacterial small subunit ribosomal RNA", at positions 27 to 507 of the family's 1533-position model. The record is from RNAcentral.
GGACGAACGCUGGCGGCGUGCCUAAUACAUGCAAGUCGAGCGAAGUUUUUCUGGUGCUUGCACCGGAAAAACUUAGCGGCGAACGGGUGAGUAACACGUAAAGAACCUGCCUCAUAGACUGGGACAACUAUUGGAAACGAUAGCUAAUACCGGAUAAUAGCAUUAACUGCAUGGUUGAUGUUUAAAAGUUGGUUUUGCUAACACUAUGAGAUGGCUUUGCGGUGCAUUAGCUAGUUGGUGGGGUAAAGGCCUACCAAGGCGACGAUGCAUAGCCGACCUGAGAGGGUGAUCGGCCACACUGGGACUGAGACACGGCCCAGACUCCUACGGGAGGCAGCAGUAGGGAAUCUUCCGCAAUGGGCGAAAGCCUGACGGAGCAACGCCGCGUGAGUGAAGAAGGAUUUCGGUUCGUAAAGCUCUGUUGUUAGGGAAGAAUGAUUGUGUAGUAACUAUACACAGUAGAGACGGUACCUAACCAGAAAGCCACGGCUAACUACGUG